This 253-nucleotide ribosomal RNA is filed under the name uncultured bacterium. RNAcentral's name for it is "partial 16S ribosomal RNA". It matches the Rfam family "Bacterial small subunit ribosomal RNA", at positions 524 to 776 of the family's 1533-position model. The record is from RNAcentral.
GACGAAGGGGGCUAGCGUUGUUCGGAAUUACUGGGCGUAAAGGGCUCGUAGGCGGCCAACUAAGUCAGACGUGAAAUCCCUCAGCUUAACUGGGGAACUGCGUCUGAUACUGGAUGGCUUGGAUUCGGGAGAGGAAUGCGGAAUUCCAGGUGUAGCGGUGAAAUGCGUAGAUAUCUGGAGGAACACCGGUGGCGAAGGCGGCAUUCUGGACCGAUAUUGACGCUGAGGAGCGAAAGCCAGGGGAGCAAACGGG